GGCUGGUCUGAGGGUAAUGGAUUAUUCAGAACUUAUUAAUAUUACUGUCACUAAAGUUGGUAUACAACUCUCCCACUGCUAAAUUUUACUGGCUUUAA
This is an unclassified non-coding RNA of Colobus angolensis palliatus, 98 nucleotides long. It matches the Rfam family "Y RNA". Rfam says of the family: Y RNAs are components of the Ro ribonucleoprotein particle (Ro RNP), in association with Ro60 and La proteins. The Y RNAs and Ro60 and La proteins are well conserved, but the function of the Ro RNP is not known. NCBI's taxonomy places the organism in Eukaryota, Metazoa, Chordata, Mammalia, Primates, Cercopithecidae. The record is from Ensembl.